UACGUAGGGUGCAAGCGUUGUCCGGAAUUAUUGGGCGUAAAGAGCUCGUAGGCGGUUUGUCGCGUCUGCUGUGAAAACUCGGGGCUUAACCCCGGGCCUGCAGUGGGUACGGGCAGACUAGAGUGCGGUAGGGGAGACUGGAAUUCCUGGUGUAGCGGUGAAAUGCGCAGAUAUCAAGAGGAACACCGGUGGCGAAGGCGGGUCUCUGGGCCGUAACUGACGCUGAGGAGCGAAAGCGUGGGGAGCAAACAGG
Molecule: ribosomal RNA, 253 nt
Filed under: uncultured bacterium
Lineage: Bacteria
Description: partial 16S ribosomal RNA
Rfam family: Bacterial small subunit ribosomal RNA
Source: RNAcentral